RNAcentral lists this ribosomal RNA (252 nucleotides) under uncultured bacterium. RNAcentral describes it as "partial 16S ribosomal RNA". It matches the Rfam family "Bacterial small subunit ribosomal RNA", at positions 524 to 776 of the family's 1533-position model. The record is from RNAcentral.
UACGUAGGUGGCGAGCGUUAUCCGGAAUGAUUGGGCGUAAAGGGUGCGUAGGCGGCCUGCUAAGUCUGGAGUGAAAGGUACCGGCUCAACCGGUACAGGCUCUGGAAACUGGCGGGCUAGAGAGCAGGAGAGGGCGGCGGAACUCCAUGUGUAGCGGUAAAAUGCGUAGAUAUAUGGAGGAACACCGGUGGCGAAAGCGGCUCUCUGGCCUGUAACUGACACUGAGGCUCGAAAGCGUGGGGAGCAAACAGG